This 798-nucleotide ribosomal RNA is filed under the name uncultured Archaeoglobi archaeon. Its description in RNAcentral is "bacterial SSU rRNA". It matches the Rfam family "Archaeal small subunit ribosomal RNA", at positions 82 to 880 of the family's 1478-position model. Lineage: Archaea; Methanobacteriati; Methanobacteriota; Archaeoglobi. The record is from RNAcentral.
ACGGCUGCUCAGUAACACGUGGACAACCUGCCCUCGGGUGGGGGAUAACCCCGGGAAACUGGGGCUAAUCCCCCAUAGGUGAUGGGUGCUGGAAUGCCCCAUCUCCGAAAGCGCUUAGCGCCCGAGGAUGGGUCUGCGGCGGAUUAGGUAGUUGGUGGGGUAACGGCCCACCAAGCCUAAGAUCCGUACGGGCUGUGGGAGCAGGAGCCCGGAGAUGGACCCUGAGACAAGGGUCCAGGCCCUACGGGGCGCAGCAGGCGCGAAACCUCCGCAAUGCGGGAAACCGCGACGGGGUUAGCCGGAGUGCCCGUGCAUUGCACGGGCUGUCGGGGUGCCUAAACAGCACCCCAUAGCAAGGGCCGGGCAAGGCCGGUGGCAGCCGCCGCGGUAAGACCGGCGGCCCGAGUGGCGGCCACUCUUAUUGGGCCUAAAGCGUCCGUAGCCGGCCCAGUAAGUCCCCCGGGAAAUCUGGUCGCUUAACGAUCAGACUUCCGGGGGAUACUGCUGGGCUAGGGACCGGGAGAGGCCGAGGGUAUUCCCAGGGUAGGGGUGAAAUCCUGUAAUCCCGGGAGGACCACCUGUGGCGAAGGCGCUCGGCUGGAACGGGUCCGACGGUGAGGGACGAAGGCCUGGGGAGCGAACCGGAUUAGAUACCCGGGUAGUCCAGGCUGUAAACGAUGCGGGCUAGGUGUCACCGGAGCUACGAGCUCCGGUGGUGCCGGAGGGAAGCCGUUAAGCCCGCCGCCUGGGAAGUACGGCCGCAAGGCUGAAACUUAAAGGAAUUGGCGGGGGAGCAGA